AGAAUGAGAGCUUCGGCAGGAAUUUUUCUUAUCUUAGUGGCGGACGGGUGAGUAACGUGUGGGCAACCUGCCCUGCACUGGGGAAUAAUCAUUGGAAACGAUGACUAAUACCGCAUACGGUUCCUGGGAGGCAUCUUCCGGGAAAGAAAGGAUUUAUUCGGUGCAGGAUGGGCCCGCAUCUGAUUAGCUAGUUGGUGAGAUAACAGCCCACCAAGGCGACGAUCAGUAGCCGACCUGAGAGGGUGACCGGCCACAUUGGGACUGAGACACGGCCCAAACUCCUACGGGAGGCAGCAGUGGGGAAUAUUGCACAAUGGGCGAAAGCCUGAUGCAGCAACGCCGCGUGAAGGAAGAAGGGUUUCGGCUCGUAAACUUCUAUCAACAGGGACGAAAGAAAUGACGGUACCUGAAUAAGAAGCCCCGGCUAACUACGUGCCAGCGGCCGCGGUAAUACGUAGGGGGCAAGCGUUAUCCGGAAUUACUGGGUGUAAAGGGUGAGUAGGCGGCAUGGUAAGCCAGAUGUGAAAGCCUUGGGCUUAACCCGAGGAUUGCAUUUGGAACUAUCAAGCUAGAGUACAGGAGAGGAAAGCGGAAUUCCUAGUGUAGCGGUGAAAUGCGUAGAUAUUAGGAAGAACACCAGUGGCGAAGGCGGCUUUCUGGACUGAAACUGACGCUGAGGCACGAAAGCGUGGGGAGCGAACAGGAUUAGAUACCCUGGUAGUCCACGCCGUANACGAUGAGUGCUAGGUGUCGGGGAGGAAUCCCCGGUNCCGCAGCUAACGCAAUAAG
Molecule: ribosomal RNA, 789 nt
Filed under: uncultured bacterium
Lineage: Bacteria
Description: bacterial SSU rRNA
Rfam family: Bacterial small subunit ribosomal RNA
Source: RNAcentral